RNAcentral lists this ribosomal RNA (253 nucleotides) under uncultured bacterium. Its description in RNAcentral is "partial 16S ribosomal RNA". It matches the Rfam family "Bacterial small subunit ribosomal RNA", at positions 524 to 776 of the family's 1533-position model. The record is from RNAcentral.
UACGUAGGGGGCUAGCGUUGUCCGGAUUUAUUGGGCGUAAAGCGCGUGUAGGCGGCCAGAUAGGUCUGCUGUGAAAACUCGAGGCUCAACCUCGAGAUGUCGGCUGAAACCAUCUGGCUAGAGUCCGGAAGAGGAGAAUGGAAUUCCCGGUGUAGCGGUGAAAUGCGCAGAUAUCGGGAAGAACACCCGUGGCGAAGGCGGUUCUCUGGGACGGUACUGACGCUGAGACGCGAAAGCGUGGGGAGCGAACAGG